GUAAGUCCACUUGUUAAGAGAUUAUGAAGAAUUUCAAGGGGAUAUCAGUGCAUUAAACAGAGUUAGGACCUUCUGAGUUCCCUGUGUGAUUGCAUAGGUUGUACACCUCCGAAGCCAGCCCUGCUUCCAUGUUUCUCCAGUUUACCUAAUGGUAAGAAUUACCUUGGGAAGGUGCUUUGAUUUUACAGACUUCUAUGUCUUUCUCCAGGAUAAUCCAAUAGAGGGGGUUGGGGUGGAGCUCUGGAAUCUAUUCCUUUUUAUUAGAAAUAGAGUCUUGCUCUGUCACCCAGGCUGGAGUGCCGUGGCACAAUCAUGGCUCACUGCAGACUUGAACUCCUGGGCUCAAGCAAUCUUCUCAUCUUAGCCUUCCAAAUAGCUGAGACUGCAGGUCUGGCUAAUUAAUGUGUUUUUUUUUUUUUUUUUUUUUUUUUUUUUUUUUUUUUUGUAGAGAUGAGGGGUCUUGCUAUGUUGCACAGGCUGGUCUUGAACUCUUGGCCUCAAGUGAUCCUCCCACCUUGGCCUCCCAAAGUGCUAGGAUUACAAGUGUGAGCCACCACCCCUGCCCAGGAAUCUGUGUUUUUAACAGGCACCCUAGGCUGUGAUCCUGGAACUGAACAUCUGAUGAGUCAAUACAGGGCACGGAGUAGGACUUUGAAGUCCUCCAUUGGAUCUUCUCGGAAGAUGAGGGAAAUGAGAGAGUGUGGAGAGAGAUUUUGUAAGUCCGGUCUGGAAGUGGUCAUUGUUCAGAAUCCAGCCACGUGGGUACAUGGAACUGUAAGGCUAUUUCAACAUGGGAAACUGAAAUCGGGCAUAUCCCUGCGGAAGAAGCUGUCUCUUAGCGAAGAAUAAAACUGUGGACUGACCCCCACCCAUUUGCGAAGAAAGUACUGGGUCUUCAGCUUUCAUUGUUCAGCCGGUGGUCUUUGUGGACAACACCAGGGGCCCCUCCUGCUGAAGACUGUCUGGACUUCCUGAUUUUCACUCCUGUAUAAACCCCCUCCCCCAUUACUACCUUUGUCUCCUUGGGGAAAAAAAAUGUUUUUCACUUAAGCAAAAUAAUAACUACCCAGUAUUUGUUUCUGGAGUGAAAUUGUAAACUUCAUUGUACAUUCUUCCUGGCUUUGAUGCUUAUCGUGAAGAGUUCAGUGAAAAUAAAUUGUUUUUAUGAAAGCAGAGAAACCAUUUGAUAAACACGCUGUCUCUGAAAAUCGUUCCUGCAAAAGAGGUCAUUCUUUCACUUUAAAAGAAAUAGAAUAUAUUUCAGAAAACAGGCAGGACAACAUACAAAUUUUUUUUUAAGGCAGAGUGUAAAUACAGUGAAAAUUGCACACCUCCUGAUUGUGUGGAGUGUUUUGG
This 1356-nucleotide long non-coding RNA is filed under the name Homo sapiens (human). RNAcentral describes it as "HSALNT0231158". Lineage: Eukaryota; Metazoa; Chordata; Mammalia; Primates; Hominidae. The record is from RNAcentral.